This 73-nucleotide transfer RNA is filed under the name Chlamydia trachomatis. Its description in RNAcentral is "tRNA-Gln(ttg)". It matches the Rfam family "tRNA". Rfam says of the family: Transfer RNA (tRNA) molecules are approximately 80 nucleotides in length. Their secondary structure includes four short double-helical elements and three loops (D, anti-codon, and T loops). The record is from RNAcentral. Lineage: Bacteria; Pseudomonadati; Chlamydiota; Chlamydiia; Chlamydiales; Chlamydiaceae.
UUAGGAUGAAGUAUAUUGGUAUUACAUAGAAUUUUGAAUUCUAAGAGGUGGGUUCAAUUCCUACUGUCCUAGA